Molecule: long non-coding RNA, 403 nt
Filed under: Apteryx owenii (little spotted kiwi)
Lineage: Eukaryota; Metazoa; Chordata; Aves; Apterygiformes; Apterygidae
Description: lncRNA (ENSAOWG00000009202.1)
Source: RNAcentral
UUAAGAUACCUGUGUCCCUCUGCUCAUAGGAACGUGGUAAGCUGGGAACAGUGAAGCUGUGCAGCCCUUGAUCCCUCUAAAGAAGGCUUCCAAGUUGGUCAGAUGCUUUGCUUUUGAUUUCAUAUUUGUUGUAAUACAAACUGAGAGUGUGAAGAAAAAAUGAAAGACCAACCACCUGAUUCUUCACUAUUCCUCGCUCUUAUUGGAGGGGAACUCUAGCUGUGGGGCUGCUGCCUAGUAGCUGUGCCCAGUUCACUGACCUCGGUGGAAGUUCUGGAGUCCUCCAUGAAUUCAGGAAAGAAGUCUACGUGUCAAAAUCCCCUUUGGGCCUAUUUUUAAGCAUCUAGAUAUAUCUGAGAGCAGCUCCAGGAUUUGUAUGACUACAGUGCUCCUCAAGACUCAA